This 503-nucleotide ribosomal RNA is filed under the name uncultured bacterium. Its description in RNAcentral is "partial 16S ribosomal RNA". It matches the Rfam family "Bacterial small subunit ribosomal RNA", at positions 899 to 1397 of the family's 1533-position model. The record is from RNAcentral.
ACUCAAAGGAAUUGACGGGGACCCGCACAAGCGGUGGAGUAUGUGGUUUAAUUCGACGCAACGCGAAAAACCUUACCUGGGCUCGAACGACUGGAAGUAGUCCCGAUGAAAGUUGGGGCGAUCUGUCAAAUCAGAAACCAGCCGAGGUGCUGCAUGGUUGUCGUCAGCUCGUGUCGUGAGAUGUUGGGUUAAGUCCCGCAACGAGCGCAACCCUCAUCCUAUGUUGCUAACCCGCAAGGGUGCACUCUUAGGAAACUGCCCACGAUGAGUGGGAGGAAGGUGGGGAUGACGUCAAAUCCUCAUGGCCUUUAUGUCCAGGGCUACACACGUACUACAAUGGUCGGUACAGAGGGCUGCAAUACCGCAAGGUGGAGCCAAUCCCUAAAGCCGACCCCAGUUCAGAUUGUGGUCUGCAACUCGUCCACAUGAAGGAGGAAUCGCUAGUAAUCGCGAAUCAGAAGGUCGCGGUGAAUACGUUCCCGGGUCUUGUACACACCGCCCGU